RNAcentral lists this ribosomal RNA (948 nucleotides) under Pedobacter sp. S2U5. Its description in RNAcentral is "bacterial SSU rRNA". It matches the Rfam family "Bacterial small subunit ribosomal RNA", at positions 493 to 1453 of the family's 1533-position model. Lineage: Bacteria; Pseudomonadati; Bacteroidota; Sphingobacteriia; Sphingobacteriales; Sphingobacteriaceae. The record is from RNAcentral.
UCGGCUAACUCCGUGCCAGCAGCCGCGGUAAUACGGAGGAUCCAAGCGUUAUCCGGAUUUAUUGGGUUUAAAGGGUGCGUAGGCGGCUUUUUAAGUCAGGGGUGAAAGACGGUAGCUCAACUAUCGCAGUGCCCUUGAUACUGAAGAGCUUGAAUGGACUAGAGGUAGGCGGAAUGUGACAAGUAGCGGUGAAAUGCAUAGAUAUGUCACAGAACACCGAUUGCGAAGGCAGCUUACUAUGGUUUUAUUGACGCUGAGGCACGAAAGCGUGGGGAUCAAACAGGAUUAGAUACCCUGGUAGUCCACGCCCUAAACGAUGAAUACUCGCUGUUAGCGAUACACAGUUAGCGGCUAAGCGAAAGCGUUAAGUAUUCCACCUGGGGAGUACGGUCGCAAGAUUGAAACUCAAAGGAAUUGACGGGGGCCCGCACAAGCGGAGGAGCAUGUGGUUUAAUUCGAUGAUACGCGAGGAACCUUACCCGGGCUUGAAAGUUAGUGAAUCAUUUAGAGAUAGAUGAGUCCGCAAGGACACGAAACUAGGUGCUGCAUGGCUGUCGUCAGCUCGUGCCGUGAGGUGUUGGGUUAAGUCCCGCAACGAGCGCAACCCCUAUGUUUAGUUGCCAGCACGUUAUGGUGGGGACUCUAAACAGACUGCCUGUGCAAACAGAGAGGAAGGAGGGGACGACGUCAAGUCAUCAUGGCCCUUACGUCCGGGGCUACACACGUGCUACAAUGGAUGGUACAGAGGGCAGCAAGCUGGCAACAGCAAGCAAAUCUCCAAAAGCCAUUCACAGUUCGGAUAGAGGUCUGCAACUCGACCUCUUGAAGUUGGAUUCGCUAGUAAUCGUAUAUCAGCAAUGAUACGGUGAAUACGUUCCCGGGCCUUGUACACACCGCCCGUCAAGCCAUGGAAGUUGGGGGUACCUAAAGUAUGUAACCGCAAGGAGC